CCUACGGGUGGCUGCAGUGGGGAAUAUUGGACAAUGGGGGCAACCCUGAUCCAGCCAUGCCGCGUGUGUGAAGAAGGCCCUCGGGUUGUAAAGCACUUUCAGUGAGGAAGAACGCCUGGUGGUUAAUACCCAUCAGGAAAGACAUCACUCACAGAAGAAGCACCGGCUAACUCCGUGCCAGCAGCCGCGGUAAUACGGAGGGUGCGAGCGUUAAUCGGAAUUACUGGGCGUAAAGCGCGCGUAGGUGGCUUGAUAAGCCGGUUGUGAAAGCCCCGGGCUCAACCUGGGAACGGCAUCCGGAACUGUCAAGCUAGAGUGCAGGAGAGGAAGGUAGAAUUCCCGGUGUAGCGGUGAAAUGCGUAGAGAUCGGGAGGAAUACCAGUGGCGAAGGCGGCCUUCUGGACUGACACUGACACUGAGGUGCGAAAGCGUGGGUAGCAAACAGGAUUAGAUACCCCUGUAGUA
RNAcentral lists this ribosomal RNA (465 nucleotides) under Vreelandella stevensii. RNAcentral's name for it is "partial 16S ribosomal RNA". It matches the Rfam family "Bacterial small subunit ribosomal RNA", at positions 338 to 795 of the family's 1533-position model. Lineage: Bacteria; Pseudomonadati; Pseudomonadota; Gammaproteobacteria; Oceanospirillales; Halomonadaceae. The record is from RNAcentral.